RNAcentral lists this transfer RNA (64 nucleotides) under Novaculina chinensis. RNAcentral's name for it is "tRNA-Tyr". Lineage: Eukaryota; Metazoa; Mollusca; Bivalvia; Adapedonta; Pharidae. The record is from RNAcentral.
AGGAGGUCAGUAGUUGAUACAUCAAGUUGUAGCCUUGAAGAUAUAAUUAAUUUUUUACCUCUUA